UAAAAACUACUCAGAAGAUUCCAAAAUAAAACAAGAGUUAAGUUUCCUAGGCGGGCGCCUGAUCCGGGGCACACGGGGCGCCCGGGGCAAUCCCGCCGAAGCAACAAUAGGUAUGUUCACAUGGGUUUGGGAGUUGUAAACUCGGUAAUGAUCCUUCCGUAGGUGAACCUGCGGAGGGAUCAUUACCGAGUUUACAACUCCCAAACCCAUGUGAACAUACCUAUUGUUGCUUCGGCGGGAUUGCCCCGGGCGCCCCGUGUGCCCCGGAUCAGGCGCCCGCCUAGGAAACUUAACUCUUGUUUUAUUUUGGAAUCUUCUGAGUAGUUUUUACAAAUAAAUAAAAACUUUCAACAACGGAUCUCUUGGUUCUGGCAUCGAUGAAGAACGCAGCGAAAUGCGAUAAGUAAUGUGAAUUGCAGAAUUCAGUGAAUCAUCGAAUCUUUGAACGCACAUUGCGCCCGCCAGUAUUCUGGCGGGCAUGCCUGUCUGAGCGUCAUUUCAACCCUCAUGCCCCUAGGGCGUGGUGUUGGGGAUCGGCCAAAGCCCGCGAGGGACGGCCGGCCCCUAAAUCUAGUGGCGGACCCGUCGUGGCCUCCUCUGCGAAGUAGUGAUAUUCCGCAUCGGAGAGCGACGAGCCCCUGCCGUUAAACCCCCAACUUUCCAAGGUUGACCUCAGAUCAGGUAGGAAUACCCGCUGAACUUAAGCAUAUCAAUAAGCGGAGGAA
RNAcentral lists this ribosomal RNA (725 nucleotides) under Clonostachys sp. 3 MM-2016. RNAcentral describes it as "eukaryotic LSU rRNA". The stretch from base 343 to 496 matches the Rfam family "5.8S ribosomal RNA". The record is from RNAcentral. Lineage: Eukaryota; Fungi; Ascomycota; Sordariomycetes; Hypocreales; Bionectriaceae.